This 406-nucleotide ribosomal RNA is filed under the name uncultured bacterium. RNAcentral's name for it is "partial 16S ribosomal RNA". It matches the Rfam family "Bacterial small subunit ribosomal RNA", at positions 30 to 526 of the family's 1533-position model. The record is from RNAcentral.
AUUGAACGCUGGCGGCAGGCCUAACACAUGCAAGUCGAACGAGUGGCGGACGGGUGAGUAAUGUCUGGGAAACUGCCUGAUGGAGGGGGAUAACUACUGGAAACGGUAGCUACUACCGCAUACCAUCGGAUGUGCCCAGAUGGGAUUAGCUAGUCGGUGGGGUAAUGGCUCACCUAGGCGACGAUCCCUAGCUGGUCUGAGAGGAUGACCGGCCACACUGGAACUGAGACACGGUCCAGACUCCUACGGGAGGCAGCAGUGGGGAAUAUUGCACAAUGGGCGCAAGCCUGAUGCAGCCAUGCCGCGUGUAUGAAGAAGGCCUUCGGGUUGUAAAGUACUGUCAGCGGGGAGGCGUUACCCGCAGAGGAAGCACCGGCUAACUCCGUGCCAGCAGCCGCGGUAAUUC